UUUAUCAACUGUAAACAUUUUUUCCAUAUACAUAUGGUACUUUUCUAAUCUGCUUCUUACAACUAGGAUUUUUAUUUGUAAAUUAAGUAUAUUCUAUUUACUCCUGAAGAAAUGCCAUGUCUGUCCGAGGGAAUUAUCAAGAUGUUAGGCAUACAUAUGGAUAUAUGAUACAGAAACAACUUUAUUUGGAGAAAUUCACACAUUUCUGUAAAUAACACAAUCAAGCCACAUUUGUGUUUUUUUAUAAAAGAGUUUAUUGCAUCUCCUUUAUUACAAGGCUGACUGGUUAUGAGAUCUUGUAUCCCUGUAAUAUUAACGUCAAUUCCUAUAGCAUACUUGAAAUAUAUUCUGAUUCUGUCUCGCACACCCAGGACUAGGGAAUGAUGGAAAUGAAACCUGUGACAAGGGACCACCGGCCCCGGGACAAAAGACUUUAACAGUUCUGUUGAGGUGGUGUAUACAUUGACCGAUCUAGUGAAAUGGCAGAAGGAAUGGUUUGAAACUGGUUCAACAGUUCUGACAGGUGGGGUGCAGAUUCUACAGAAGAUAAUAACGGCAGUGUUUUCAUGUCAACUUCUGAUUUAACCAAAGAGGGGUUGAUAGAUAAACACAGGUUCUGGUUUACUCAAAGAGGGGUGGGUCACUAAAGACAGGUUCUGUUUUACUCAAAAAAAGGGUGGUUCCUUAUACAGGUUAACAUUCUAGUGUAUUCACCUCUAUCACAGCCGAACACAACUGUUACUGUACGUGUAGGUACAUAAAUACACUGACAAUCAAAGGAAUAUAAUACUUCAUUUUAGUCCCUAUUUUUGGCCAAUCAGAUCUUGCAAAUCCACAGCAUUACAUAAUAAAUUUAAGCAAAGUACCAUAAUUAUCCAAAAUUAAUAAAGUACUUGUCCUGAUUCUGCUUAUAAUAAGAUUUCUUGAUCAAUCCAUUUCAGUAUUAAAUAUUUUACAUUUUUAUCAUUUAAGAAAAAAUAAGGGUGACAUUUGCAGAUUUUGAAAUUCAAGACCAAUUUUUAAAAUCUGUUAACUCAUUCACCCCUAAGGUCACAAUUGAACCUUACCAAAUCAAUGACUGGGCAAAUCCAGUUUAGAUAUGUAGGGGUGAGUGACUUAAUACACCAGACCUGAUAGUUUCCUUGUGUGGGAAUAUACUUAACACAACACUAGAUACCAUGUGUAGCUAAACUGUGUCAAA
Molecule: long non-coding RNA, 1201 nt
Organism: Mizuhopecten yessoensis (Yesso scallop)
Lineage: Eukaryota; Metazoa; Mollusca; Bivalvia; Pectinida; Pectinidae
Exons: 2
Source: RefSeq, a predicted model, not a curated record